AGCGAACGCUGGCGGCAGGCUUAACACAUGCAAGUCGAGCGGGCGUAGCAAUACGUCAGCGGCAGACGGGUGAGUAACGCGUGGGAACAUACCUUUUGGUUCGGAACAACACAGGGAAACUUGUGCUAAUACCGGAUAAGCCCUUACGGGGAAAGAUUUAUCGCCGAAAGAUUGGCCCGCGUCUGAUUAGCUAGUUGGUGAGGUAACGGCUCACCAAGGCGACGAUCAGUAGCUGGCUGAGAGGAUGAUCAGCCACAUUGGGACUGAGACACGGCCCAAACUCCUACGGGAGGCAGCAGUGGGGAAUAUUGGACAAUGGGCGAAAGCCUGAUCCAGCCAUGCCGCGUGAGUGAUGAAGCCCUAGGGUUGUAAAGCUCUUUUGUGCGGAAGAUAAUGACGGUACCGCAAGAAUAAGCCCCCGCUAACUUCGUGACAGCAGCCGCCGU
This 446-nucleotide ribosomal RNA is filed under the name uncultured bacterium. RNAcentral's name for it is "bacterial SSU rRNA". It matches the Rfam family "Bacterial small subunit ribosomal RNA", at positions 29 to 521 of the family's 1533-position model. The record is from RNAcentral.